UUGAUAAUGGGUUAGGUAAAUGUUCCAUGAUAAUGGAUUAGGUAAAUAUUCCAUGAUAAUGGGUUAGGUAAAUGUUCCAUGAUAAUGGUUUAGGUAAAUGUUCCAUGAUGGGAAUUUCAUGUCUUUUGUAUUAAAGAAUUAAAUGGAUGAAAUAUGAAAUUUUAUUAAAAGAAAAAGGGGUGAAAAAAACAAAAGUUUUGUCCAUCUUUGUUCAUCAUAGCCUAAAGUUAGAGAAGAGAAAGGAAAGGAGAAAGCUCUUGAAUGUUCGGUCACUUGGGGAAGAAAAUUGAAGGCGGUUCGUGUGUGGAUCUCGUCAGCAUAUCGUUGCAAACAGGAAAUUCCCAACCAUAGUGGGCUUGGAGCUGUGAGGGAAUUCGGGUGGCCACCCGUUCUGAAAGUUUGAUUUUCUUCUGGUGAAUUGGACAUCCUUUUAAUUACGUUUGAGGUUUUGGGCUUUUAAAUGUAAUAAGGCCGCUUAUUUAUUUUUUAUGGUUUUUAUAUGUUUUAUUAAGAUAGGUAAUAUUUAUAUUUAA
Gossypium arboreum is the source of this 533-nucleotide long non-coding RNA. RefSeq lists it as uncharacterized. The record is from RefSeq and is a predicted model, not a curated record. NCBI's taxonomy places the organism in Eukaryota, Viridiplantae, Streptophyta, Magnoliopsida, Malvales, Malvaceae. The transcript has 3 exons.